ACGAGCGAGAAAGGGCUUCGGCCCCGGUAAAGCGGCGCACGGGUGAGUAACACGUAGGCAAUCUGCCUCGAGGUGGUGGAUAACCCUCCGAAAGGAGGGCUAAUACAGCAUGAGACCACGUCGUCGAAAGACGAUGCGGCCAAAGCCGGCCUCUUCAUGAAAGCUGGCGCCACGAGAUGAGCCUGCGGCCCAUCAGCUAGUUGGUAGGGUAACGGCCUACCAAGGCAAAGACGGGUAGCUGGUCUGAGAGGAUGAUCAGCCACACUGGAACUGAGACACGGUCCAGACUCCUACGGGAGGCAGCAGUGGGGAAUCUUGCGCAAUGGGCGAAAGCCUGACGCAGCGACGCCGCGUGAGCGAUGAAGGCCUUCGGGUUGUAAAGCUCUGUGGAGGGGGACGAAUAAGGGCACGCUAAUACCGUGUUUGAUGACGGUACCCCUUUAGCAAGCACCGGCUAACUCUGUGCCAGCAGCCGCGGUAAGACAGAGGGUGCAAACGUUGUUCGGAAUUACUGGGC
This 517-nucleotide ribosomal RNA is filed under the name uncultured bacterium. Its description in RNAcentral is "bacterial SSU rRNA". It matches the Rfam family "Bacterial small subunit ribosomal RNA", at positions 62 to 559 of the family's 1533-position model. The record is from RNAcentral.